Molecule: ribosomal RNA, 217 nt
Filed under: uncultured Carnobacteriaceae bacterium
Lineage: Bacteria; Bacillati; Bacillota; Bacilli; Lactobacillales; Carnobacteriaceae
Description: partial 16S ribosomal RNA
Rfam family: Bacterial small subunit ribosomal RNA
Source: RNAcentral
AACUUGCCCAUGAGCGGGGGACAACAUCCGGAAACGGAUGCUAAUACCCCAUAGGUGGAUUGGUCGCAUGACUAAUUCAUUAAAGGUGGCUCUGCUACCACUCAUGGAUAGCCUCGCGGCGUAUUAGCUAGUUGGUAAGGUAAUGGCUUACCAAGGCAGUGAUACGUAGCCGACUUGAGAGGGUGAUCGGCCACACUGGGACUGAGACACGGCCCAG